RNAcentral lists this long non-coding RNA (1496 nucleotides) under Homo sapiens (human). Its description in RNAcentral is "HSALNT0114007". The record is from RNAcentral. Lineage: Eukaryota; Metazoa; Chordata; Mammalia; Primates; Hominidae.
UCCCUUUGUUUAUUUUUGCAGCCAACAAAGUAUGUUUUCGAGGUUAACAACGAAGCACAGGAUAGUACAAGUGGAAGAUCAUUAACAUGACUGGAUAGGAACCUCUUUUAAUUUCCCUUUCUUGGCUUUUUCCACACCCUAGGUGGAUUACACUCACCCUGACACACCUAGAAAAUACACCCAGAUACCAGAAUUGCAAAAUUCAGGAAGAAUGCACUGCACACUGUAUCCAGGCAAGCCAAGCUCACCUAAAAAUGGUCUCAAAAAGCAAAGGGCUCUGACCAUCGACUGAUGGGGUUGCAAGCCCAGCCUGUCUGCAGGAAUUUUUAAAUCUGAAACCACACUACAGAAAUUAUUUUAUAUAUUACUUAUUUUUAAAACUCAACUGUAAAAAUAAGUGUUGCAGGAAGAGUGAGGAAGAGGGAAUUUAAAAGAGGAAGUUGGGACUGAAUCUAUUCGUUCCAACCUCCCUAAGCAAUCCACUUAUUGAUCAGUGCUUCCAACUCAAGGAAUAUUUAAAAUUUUUUAAUUAAAGAAAAAAUUCUAUCAAUCAGAGAAUCUUGAAGGUAGGGGGAUCAUUUACAAUCAUUUUACAGGUGAGGAUAUUGAGACCAGCAGGGAGAUGACCUGCCCAAGCCUGCACAGAUAGCAAGGACCAAAGUUGGGAUGAGACUCAAAUAUGCCCUUUCAGAUGUGAAGCAGACCAUUUCUGCAAAAUAAGAGUUUAUCUUUGUCAUAAAUACUUUAGGUUGACAUGGUUCUAUUAUAUCAGGCUCGUUGGUCCCAGGAGGUUGCAUUUUUCCUAAAUGUGCGCCGUUAAGGUAUUGUGUGAUUGAGGAGGGGAAGAAGGCUGGAUGGGAAAUCAUGCAAAGACAAGUGCAUGUGGUAGAGAAGCUUAUAAACGGAGUCAUUUUCAUGUUUAACAGGAGACCACGUUUCUUAAUCUCUAGAUAUCCAGUAUCUUCUUGAAUGAGCUGUGGUAUCACUUUAAAAGAUGGGAUUUUUAACAUUUUUAAUGACCACUUCAAAUUCUCCACCAGCCACGGCAUAGUUGUGUGGGUUUUUCUUUUCAAUUUUGGUAUAAUCACCCAGAUUACAUUUCUCUAUGAGAAACAUUCACCUCGCAUUUUGAAAAGCAUAGAAAAAUUCACUGCCAAGGACUAGCUGGCCAACAGUAGCCCUAGGGAGAUAUAUUUCCGUUCUCCCACCCAGCCUCUCUGCACCCAUCCUCACAAUGACAUACACCAUAGUGGAAGUAACAUAUGACUUAUGGUGGGAAAAAAAAUAACAAAUGAUAAAAUGGGAAGGAGGGCAAGGGGAAAAUAGAGAGACUGCUACCCCACCACCUGAAUGGAAGGGGACCCCAGCACAAGGAGGAGGCUUCAGCUACACUGCACACAUGUCCCCCGGGUGUCUGAACCUGCCAGAAAUCUCUUAGUCCAUUUUCCUCUGGUUGAUAGCACUGCAGAGAAAUUGUUUAAUGUGUGUCUAGGGUA